Molecule: transfer RNA, 71 nt
Filed under: Loxodonta africana (African savanna elephant)
Lineage: Eukaryota; Metazoa; Chordata; Mammalia; Proboscidea; Elephantidae
Rfam family: tRNA
About the family: Transfer RNA (tRNA) molecules are approximately 80 nucleotides in length. Their secondary structure includes four short double-helical elements and three loops (D, anti-codon, and T loops).
Source: Rfam by way of RNAcentral
GCAGUGGUGGUUUAGGGGUAGAAUUCUUACCUUCCAUGUAGGAGACCUGAGUUUGAUUCUCAGCCAACGCA